GUAGUCAUAUGCUUGUCUCAAAGAUUAAGCCAUGCAUGUCUAAGUAUAAGCAAUUACAAAGCGAAACUGCGAAUGGCUCNUUAUAUAAGUUAUCGUUUAUUUGAUAGUACCUUACUACAUGGAUAACCGUGGUAAUUCUAGAGCUAAUACAUGCUGAAAAUCCCGACUUCGGAAGGGAUGUAUUUAUUAGAUACAAAACCAAUGCCCUUCGGGGCUCUCUUGGUGAUUCAUGAUAACUUCUCGAAUCGCACGGCCCCGCGCCGGCGAUGGUUCAUUCAAAUUUCUUCCCUAUCAACUUUCGAUGCUACGGUAUUGUCCUAGCAUGGUUGCAACGGGUGACGGAGGGUUAGGGCUCGACCCCGGAGAAGGAGCCUGAGAAACGGCUACUACAUCCAAGGAAGGCAGCAGGCGCGCAAAUUACCCAAUCCCGGCUCGGGGAGGUAGUGACGAUAAAUACCGAUACAGGGCUCUUUUGGGUCCUGUAAUUGGAAUGAGUACAAUUCAAAUCCCUUAACGAGGAACAAUUGGAGGGCAAGUCUGGUGCCAGCAGCCGCGGUAAUUCCAGCUCCAAUAGCGUAUAUUAAAGUUGUUGUGGUUAAAAAGCUCGUAGUAGAAGCUCGGCCUCCGGUCGGCCGGUCCGCCUCACCGCGUGCACUGGUUCGGCCGGGGCUUCACCUUCUGCGGAACCGCAUCUCCUUCACUGGGGGUGUCGGGGAAACAGGACGUUUUUCUUGGAUCGAUUGAAGACUAACUACUGCGAAAGCAUUUGCCAAGGAUGUUUUCAUUUAUCAGGAACGAAAGUUAGGGGAUCGAAGACGAUCAGAUACCGUCGUAGUCUUAACCAUAAACUAUGCCGACUAGGGAUCGGACGGUGUUAUUUCUUGACCCGUUCGGCACCUUACGAGAAAUCAAAGUGCUUGGGCUCCAGGGGGAGUAUGGUCGCAAGGCUGAAACUUAAAGAAAUUGACGGAAGGGCACCACCAGGGGUGGACUGCGGCUUAAUUUGACUCAACACGGGGAAACUCACCAGGUCCAGACACAACGAGGAUUGACAGAUUGAGAGCUCUUUCUUGAUUUUGUGGGUGGUGGUGCAUGGCCGUUCUUAGUUGGUGGAGUGAUUUGUCUGCUUAAUUGCGAUAACGAACGAGACCUUAACCUGCUAAAUAGUCCGUAUUACCCCGGUAGUACGCCGACUUCUUAGAGGGACUAUCGGCUCAAGCCGAUGGAAGUUUGAGGCAAUAACAGGUCUGUGAUGCCCUUAGAUGUUCUGGGCCGCACGCGCGUUACACUGACGGGGCCAGCGAGUACUGCCUUGGCCGAAAGGUCCGGGUAAUCUUGUGAAACCCCGUCGUGCUGGGGAUAGGGCAUUGCAAUUAUUGCUCUUCAACGAGGAAUCCCUAGUAAGCGCAAGUCAUCAGCUUGCGUUGAUUACGUCCCUGCCCUUUGUACACACCGCCCGUCGCUACUACCUGAUUGAA
Molecule: ribosomal RNA, 1478 nt
Filed under: uncultured fungus
Lineage: Eukaryota; Fungi
Description: SSU rRNA
Rfam family: Eukaryotic small subunit ribosomal RNA
Source: RNAcentral